CUAGUUUAGAUCUGGUUCCAGUUUGCUACUCUGAGGCAUCCGCAGCGCAUCUAGUGGAAGCGACGACUCAACGCAUACUUACGUUUAUGCGGACGUCCACAGUAUCGAAAAUUCCACCGAAACCACAGUGUGCAGUAAUGAUGAUGCAGCCAGUAAGUGGUGCAAAGACCAUCCUAUUGCGAUGGAACCAUCUAAGCGGAUGCUCACCACUUUCUCACUCACUGCCCCCGUUUGAUUACCUGUCAUAUAAAAACUGGUGCAGCAUCGGAACGACACCAGCUCACAGUAAAGACCAGAACAACAGCACGAGACUGCGCUGUCUACAGAAGAAGGUCGGAGGUACAGAAGGCAUGGAAUGACUUUCCCCCAGAAACUUUCAAUGAAGCUUCUGAUUUUGGUCACUUGUCUUCCUUCAAAUUGGAAAUUGCUAAACUAUAUAAACACUUGUAGACAAAAAACUGUCUUCUCAAAACCAUCGAAAAAGUCAGUAGAA
Molecule: long non-coding RNA, 493 nt
Organism: Symsagittifera roscoffensis
Lineage: Eukaryota; Metazoa; Xenacoelomorpha; Acoela; Convolutidae
Exons: 3
Source: RefSeq, a predicted model, not a curated record